AUGAAAUCUUUGCUCAUGCCUAUGUGCUGAAUGGUAUUGCCUAGAUUGUCUUCUAGGGUAUUCAUAGUUUUGGGUUUUACAUUUAAGUCUUCUCUCCCCUUGUGAAGGUACCAGUCAGUGAUUAAAGUGCAGAACAACUUCCCCAAUACAGGAAUCUAGCUUCUGAAAAUAUAAGACUUGAGAAAGGGAGGGCUGGGAAACAAGAGCUGUGACUCACCCUGAAGACAUUCAUAAAUAUCUAUUUUAAUAUCUAUUACAAUACAGCAAUAAAGGCAAACUAAAAAAGGCUAUACAAGGCAUUUUGCCUUUGGGAGACCAAGGCGGGCAGAUCACUUGAGGUCAGGAGUCAGAGACCAGCCUGGCCAACAUGGCGAAACCCCAUCUCUACUGAAAAUACAAAAAUUAGCCAGGCAUGGUGGCUUGCGUCUGUAAUCCCAGCUACUUGAGAGGCUGAGACACAAGAAUCGCUUGAAUCCUGGAGGCAGAGGUUGCAGUGAGCUGAGAUAGUGCCACUACACUCCAGCCUGGGAGACAGAGCAAGACCCUGUCUCAAAACAACAAAAAACAAAAACCGAACAAACAAAAACUGUAAUUGCUGAAACGCUCUUUUUCAUCAAUCAUAUAUAUUGAACCAGGGUCACGAAAACAUGGGAAAAGUGUAAUUUCUGCCUCUGAGGAAC
RNAcentral lists this long non-coding RNA (680 nucleotides) under Pan troglodytes (chimpanzee). RNAcentral describes it as "long non-coding RNA NONPTRT010334". The record is from RNAcentral. Lineage: Eukaryota; Metazoa; Chordata; Mammalia; Primates; Hominidae.